RNAcentral lists this ribosomal RNA (504 nucleotides) under uncultured bacterium. RNAcentral describes it as "partial 16S ribosomal RNA". It matches the Rfam family "Bacterial small subunit ribosomal RNA", at positions 30 to 523 of the family's 1533-position model. The record is from RNAcentral.
AUUGAACGCUGGCGGCAUGCCUUACACAUGCAGGUCGAACGGCAGCAUGGAGAGCUUGCUCUCUGAUGGCGAGUGGCGAACGGGUGAGUAAUGCAUCGGAACGUACCGUGUAAUGGGGGAUAACGUAGCGAAAGUUACGCUAAUACCGCAUACGACCUGAGGGUGAAAGCAGGGGAUCGCAAGACCUUGCGUUAUACGAGCGGCCGAUGUCGGAUUAGCUAGUUGGUGAGGUAAAGGCUCACCAAGGCGACGAUCUGUAGCGGGUCUGAGAGGAUGAUCCGCCACACUGGGACUGAGACACGGCCCAGACUCCUACGGGAGGCAGCAGUGGGGAAUUUUGGACAAUGGGGGCAACCCUGAUCCAGCCAUGCCGCGUGAGUGAAGAAGGCCUUCGGGUUGUAAAGCUCUUUCGGCCGGGAAGAAAUCGCACAGGCUAAUACUCUGUGUGGAUGACGGUACCGGCAUAAGAAGCACCGGCUAACUACGUGCCAGCCGCCGCAGUAA